UCUUAUCCAGAGAGGCGAAGGGACUGGCCCGAUGAUGCCCAGCAACCUGAAUGUAUAGCAAUAUAUACUCAAGGUGCUAAUUCCUACAAACUUUUAUCAGUUUGGAAGAUAAGA
Molecule: non-coding RNA, 114 nt
Filed under: uncultured Cellulosilyticum sp.
Lineage: Bacteria; Bacillati; Bacillota; Clostridia; Lachnospirales; Cellulosilyticaceae
Description: SAM riboswitch (S box leader)
Rfam family: SAM riboswitch aptamer (S box leader)
About the family: The SAM riboswitch is found upstream of a number of genes which code for proteins involved in methionine or cysteine biosynthesis in Gram-positive bacteria. The SAM riboswitch acts at the level of transcription termination control.
Source: RNAcentral